ACUCAAAGGAAUUGACGGGGAGGCGCACAAGCAGUGGAGCGUGUGGUUUAAUUCGAUACGAAGCGAAAAACCUCACCAGGGUUUGACAUGCAACUGCAAAUCCCAUGAAAGUGGGACUUCUUCGAGAGUGUUGCACAGAUGCUGCAUGGCUGUCGUCAGCUCGUGGCGUGAGCUGUACCGUUAAGUCGGGAAACGAGCGCAACCCGCACCGUAUGUUAAAUAAUUCAUGCGGAACAGUUCUACUUUGUAGAAAGGAAGGCGCGGAUGACGUCAAGUCAGCACGGCUCUUACACCCUGGGCUACACACACCCUACAAUGGCUAAAGCAACGAGUUGCAAACUGGUAACAGUAAGCUAAUCUCUUAAAGUUAGCCUCAGUUCAGAUUGAGGGCUGCAAUUCGCCCUCAUGAAGUCGGAAUUGCUAGUAAUCGCGAAUCAGCAGGUCGCGGUGAAUACGUUCUCGCCUCUUGUACACACCGCCCGU
This 483-nucleotide ribosomal RNA is filed under the name uncultured bacterium. RNAcentral describes it as "partial 16S ribosomal RNA". It matches the Rfam family "Bacterial small subunit ribosomal RNA", at positions 899 to 1397 of the family's 1533-position model. The record is from RNAcentral.